CAGUAACACAGGUCAGAAGGUACCCGGGAGCUCUCUGGGGCUCUUUCCCACGGAUGCUCUUCGGCUCAGGGGGCUCCACCCCCGUGACCCAUCACCUUCCAAAAGCCCCGCCUCCUAGCCCGUCCCACUGGCCAUAACGUUUCAGCACCUGGAUUCUGGGGAGGCACAGACGUCCCCUCGGCAGGGCGGAUGUUUCUGUUUUUCUUUUCCUUCCCUUUUUUUACAGGGGGGAGGGGAGAUCCGUGCUUUCUUUAUUUCCUGCUUCCUUUAACCAUUUAGUGAGUUAUAGAUUCCACUUCUUUUCUUAUCUUGAUUUUCUAACAUACAUGCAAUCUCUGCUUCAUAUGCUGUGAGAACCCAGCUCCUCCUCGGCCGGCCCCGCCCUUACUGCAAUUGUCGUGUUUUGUAUUUGCUCUGCCAAGGAAAGGGCUGUGUCUUUGCAGCGCCCAGACAGAGGUGGAGACGCACUGAUUAUGUUCAUUAAAGCUAUUGCAGGUCACGGGCCGACUGAGGCCUGUCCGGCCGCAACUGCUGCUAGUAUCUCGACAGCUAACAACAGCAGAAAUAAAGGUCCUAUGAAGGAACUGCCAAAACAAACUCUGUAACUAUGCAAGUCUGUGCUGUGGGCCUAAGCACAUCUCUAAAGACCGUUUCAUUUGGGGAAAUGCUUCUUUCCUUCUGGAAAAUGUUUCUUUAUUAAAAUAAAAAAAAAAAACCAACACUGCGUUUACAGCACAUUGUCCCUGAAAUU
Long non-coding RNA from Capra hircus (goat), 751 nucleotides. Lineage: Eukaryota; Metazoa; Chordata; Mammalia; Artiodactyla; Bovidae. The record is from Ensembl.